CGGGAAUUUUGGGCAAUGGGCGAAAGCCUGACCCAGCAACGCCGCGUGAGGGAUGAAGUAUUUCGGUAUGUAAACCUCGAAAGAAUGGGAAGAAUAAAUGACGGUACCAUUUAUAAGCUCCGGCUAACUACGUGCCAGCAGCCGCGGUAAUACGUAGGGAGCAAGCGUUGUUCGGAUUUACUGGGCGUAAAGGGCGCGUAGGCGGCGCGGUAAGUCACUUGUGAAAUCUCUGGGCUUAACUCAGAACGGCCAAGUGAUACUGCUGUGCUAGAGUGCGGAAGAGGCAACCGGAAUUCUUGGUGUAGCGGUGAAAUGCGUAGAUAUCAAGAGGAACACCUGAGGCGAAGGCGGGUUGCUGGGCCGACACUGACGCUGAUGCGCGAAAGCCAGGGGAGCAAACG
This 401-nucleotide ribosomal RNA is filed under the name uncultured bacterium. Its description in RNAcentral is "bacterial SSU rRNA". It matches the Rfam family "Bacterial small subunit ribosomal RNA", at positions 356 to 774 of the family's 1533-position model. The record is from RNAcentral.